AGGGUUACAUGCUCCCUACCUCCCAGAAUGCUGAGAAGUUGAAGGAGCAGCAGUACCUGGAUUUGACUUCCUUUGGCAGACAGAUCAUUGCUGAGUUACUCAUGGUGUUUUUGGUCACAUUUGGUUUAUUUACAGUGAUCCACGCCAUGCAGCUUUGACCCAAGAAGAACGCCGAUGUACCCCGAAUGUUUGUUUGCUUUUCCUCCUCGUUGUGAGACAUUUUGCUGCAACCAGAGCCUCAUGUGCACAGUAAAGUUCUCUGCAUGUCAAAGA
This is a long non-coding RNA of Hemicordylus capensis (graceful crag lizard), 273 nucleotides long. RefSeq lists it as uncharacterized. The record is from RefSeq and is a predicted model, not a curated record. The transcript is spliced from 2 exons. Lineage: Eukaryota; Metazoa; Chordata; Lepidosauria; Squamata; Cordylidae.